RNAcentral lists this ribosomal RNA (511 nucleotides) under uncultured bacterium. RNAcentral describes it as "bacterial SSU rRNA". It matches the Rfam family "Bacterial small subunit ribosomal RNA", at positions 29 to 519 of the family's 1533-position model. The record is from RNAcentral.
AAUCAACGCUGGCGGCGUGCCUAACACAUGCAAGUCGAACGCGAAAGGGCCGCAAGGCCUGAGUAGAGUGGCAAACGGGUGAGUAACACGUGGGUGACCUGCCUUCGAGUGGGGGAUAACGUCCCGAAAGGGACGCUAAUACCGCAUGACAUCCUGUUCUUGGAGGGGUGGAGAUCAAAGCUGGGGAUCGCAAGACCUGGCGCUCGGAGAGGGGCCCGCGUCUGAUUAGCUAGUUGGUGGGGUAACGGCUCACCAAGGCGACGAUCAGUAUCCGGCCUGAGAGGGCGGACGGACACACUGGGACUGAGACACGGCCCAGACUCCUACGGGAGGCAGCAGUGGGGAAUUGUUCGCAAUGGGCGCAAGCCUGACGACGCAACGCCGCGUGGAGGACGAAGAUCUUCGGGUCGUAAACUCCUGUCGAGCGGGAAGAACGGGCUGGUGGUGAACAACUACCGGUCGUGACGGUACCGCUAAAGGAAGCCCGGCUAACUCCGUGCCAGCAGCCGCA